This 254-nucleotide ribosomal RNA is filed under the name uncultured bacterium. RNAcentral's name for it is "partial 16S ribosomal RNA". It matches the Rfam family "Bacterial small subunit ribosomal RNA", at positions 524 to 776 of the family's 1533-position model. The record is from RNAcentral.
UACGGGGGGAGCAAGCGUUGUUCGGAUUUACUGGGCGUAAAGGGCGCGUAGGCGGCCACCGCAAGUCGGUUGUGAAAUCUCUGGGCUUAACCCAGAAAGGUCAACCGAUACUGCGGGGCUAGAGUGCAGAAGGGGCAACUGGAAUUCUCGGUGUAGCGGUGAAAUGCGUAGAUAUCGGAAGGAACAUCAGUGGCGAAAGCGGCUUCCUGGACCAGUACCGACGUUCAGGCACGAAAGCGUGGGGAGCAAACAGG